GACGAACGCUGGCGGCGUGCCUAAUACAUGCAAGUAGAACGCUGAAGGAGGAGCUUGCUCUUCUGGAUGAGUUGCGAACGGGUGAGUAACGCGUAGGUAACCUGCCUGGUAGCGGGGGAUAACUAUUGGAAACGAUAGCUAAUACCGCAUAAGAGUAGAUGUUGCAUGACAUUUGCUUAAAAGGUGCAAUUGCAUCACUACCAGAUGGACCUGCGUUGUAUUAGCUAGUUGGUGGGGUAACGGCUCACCAAGGCGACGAUACAUAGCCGACCUGAGAGGGUGAUCGGCCACACUGGGACUGAGACACGGCCCAGACUCCUACGGGAGGCAGCAGUAGGGAAUCGUCGGCAAUGGACGGAAGUCUGACCGAGCAACGCCGCGUGAGUGAAGAAGGUUUUCGGAUCGUAAAGCUCUGUUGUAAGAGAAGAACGAGUGUGAGAGUGGAAAGUUCACACUGUGACGGUAUCUUACCAGAAAGGGACGGCUAACUACGUG
Molecule: ribosomal RNA, 495 nt
Filed under: uncultured bacterium
Lineage: Bacteria
Description: partial 16S ribosomal RNA
Rfam family: Bacterial small subunit ribosomal RNA
Source: RNAcentral